GAACGCUGGCGGCAGCUAACACAUGCAAGUCGAGCGGGGAUAGGGUGCUUGCACCUGAUUCCUAGCGGCGGACGGGUGAGUAAUGCUUAGGAAUCUGCCUAUUAGUGGGGGGACAACGUUCCGAAAGGGACGCUAAUACCGCAUACGUCCUACGGGAGAAAGCAGGGGAUCUUCGGACCUUGCGCUAAUAGAUGAGCCUAAGUCGGAUUAGCUAGUUGGUGGGGUAAAGGCCUACCAAGGCGACGAUCUGUAGCGGGUCUGAGAGGAUGAUCCGCCACACUGGGACUGAGACACGGCCCAGACUCCUACGGGAGGCAGCAGUGGGGAAUAUUGGACAAUGGGGGGAACCCUGAUCCAGCCAUGCCGCGUGUUGUGAAGAAGGCCUUUUUGGUUGUAAAGCACUUUAAGCGAGGAGGAGGCUUACCUGGUUAAUACCUGGGAUAAGUGGACGUUACUCGCAGAAUAAGCACCGGCUAACUCUGUGCCAGCCGCCGC
RNAcentral lists this ribosomal RNA (495 nucleotides) under uncultured bacterium. Its description in RNAcentral is "bacterial SSU rRNA". It matches the Rfam family "Bacterial small subunit ribosomal RNA", at positions 31 to 518 of the family's 1533-position model. The record is from RNAcentral.